UAUGGGGAUUAUACCGGGAAUGUCCCACCUGUUCCCAUUCCGAACACAGAAGUGAAAUUUUCCAAGGCCGAUGAUAGUGGUUUUACCGCAAAAGUAGGUCGUCCCCAUUU
This 110-nucleotide ribosomal RNA is filed under the name Candidatus Portnoybacteria bacterium CG03_land_8_20_14_0_80_41_10. The record is from RNAcentral. Lineage: Bacteria; Candidatus Portnoyibacteriota.